This 497-nucleotide ribosomal RNA is filed under the name uncultured bacterium. RNAcentral's name for it is "partial 16S ribosomal RNA". It matches the Rfam family "Bacterial small subunit ribosomal RNA", at positions 28 to 507 of the family's 1533-position model. The record is from RNAcentral.
GAUGAACGCUGGCGGCGUGCCUAAUACAUGCAAGUCGAGCGAACAGACGAGGAGCUUGCUCCUCUGACAUUAGCGGCGGACGGGUGAGUAACACGUGGAUAACCUACCUAUAAGACUGGGAUAACUUCGGGAAACCGGAGCUAAUACCGGAUAAUAUAUUGAACCGCAUGGUUCAAUAGUGAAAGACGGUUUUGCUGUCACUUAUAGAUGGAUCCGCGCCGCAUUAGCUAGUUGGUAAGGUAACGGCUUACCAAGGCGACGAUGCGUAGCCGACCUGAGAGGGUGAUCGGCCACACUGGAACUGAGACACGGUCCAGACUCCUACGGGAGGCAGCAGUAGGGAAUCUUCCGCAAUGGGCGAAAGCCUGACGGAGCAACGCCGCGUGAGUGAUGAAGGUCUUCGGAUCGUAAAACUCUGUUAUUAGGGAAGAACAAAUGUGUAAGUAACUAUGCACGUCUUGACGGUACCUAAUCAGAAAGCCACGGCUAACUACGUG